ACUAAUCUUUCCUGCUUUCAGCGGCAUCCCUCGCAGGCCCGUGUUGUUCCCAACUGGUGUUCCCACCUGGCGGCAAACUGGUGACUGUAGUUACAGAUCUUCAACAUCACACUCAGGAGAAGAAGGAGAUUGCUUUUCAGGAGCUCCUGCAAGCCGGAGAAUAAAAGCUCUUAUUUAUUCAGAAGCCCUAAAACAUACCACCUUGGCUAUAGACUAUUUGGACAUUUCUAAGCAAAUCUGUCUGCAAAGGUGCUGAGCUGUGUUGAUCAACUGAAGCCCGUGACGUCUCAUCCUUGCAGUUGGAGGUAGGUCUUCUGUCCACCCAAAUCAGAUGGAUGAAAUAGGGAAGGCUGUUCUCCUCAAGGAGAAGCUAGUUUGAAAAAAGCAAUAAGCAGGCUAGGCACAGUGGCUCACGCCUAUAAUCCCAGCACUUUGGCAAAGCCAGUGUUAAGGAGAGGGAAAUCAGACUUCAUCUUUCGAUGGGAGAAGAAAAGAGUUUGCAACUGUCUCUAUUCUGCCACUGGCAGAGAAUCCAUAGGUUUGCUAAGGAUACAGAGCCACAUUGAAAAGAUAAACCUUGCUAUGCUGGAGAUUACUUAGGUGGGCCAGGAUUUCUUGAAACCAAAACUUUACUGAAUCACCUCUUCACCAUCUGUAUGCCGUGCAUUUGCUGAG
RNAcentral lists this long non-coding RNA (675 nucleotides) under Homo sapiens (human). RNAcentral describes it as "HSALNT0082202". The record is from RNAcentral. Lineage: Eukaryota; Metazoa; Chordata; Mammalia; Primates; Hominidae.